CAUGCAAGUCGAACGAAAAUACCAAGCUUGCUUGGUUGAUUAGUGGCGAACGGGUGUGUAACACGUGAGUAACCUGCCCCUUACUUUCCUGGAUAACUGCUCGAAAGGGUAGCUAAUACGGGAUAUUCUGACCAUCCUGCAUGGGUUGGUUUGGAAAGGUUGUUUUUUCUGGUAAGGGAUGGGCUCGCGGCCUAUCAGCUUGUUGGUGGGGUGAUGGCCUACCAAGGCUUUGACGGGUAGCCGGCCUGAGAGGGUGGACGGUCACACUGGGACUGAGAUACGGCCCAGACUCCUACGGGAGGCAGCAGUGGGGAAUAUUGCACAAUGGGCGCAAGCCUGAUGCAGCGACGCCGCGUGAGGGAUGAAGGCCUUCGGGUUGUAAACCUCUUUCGUCAGGGAACAAGGCACUGCUUUGGUGGUGUUGAGGGUACCUGGAUAAGAAGCGCCGGCUAACUACGUGCCAGCAGCCGCGGUAAUACGUAGGGCGCAAGCGUUGUCCGGAAUUAUUGGGCGUAAAGAGCUCGUAGGCGGCUGGUCGCGUCUGUCGUGAAAACUUCCGGCUCAACCGGGGGCUUGCGGUGGGUACGGGCCGGCUAGAGUGCGGUAGGGGUAACUGGAACUCCUGGUGUAGCGGUGGAUGCGCAGAUAUCAGGAAGAACACCGAUGGCGAAGGCAGGUUACUGGGCCGUUACUGACGCUGAGGAGCGAAAGCGUGGGGAGCGAACAGGAUUAGAUACCCUGGUAGUCCACGCUGUAAACGUUGGGCACUAGGUGUGAGGCUCCUUU
RNAcentral lists this ribosomal RNA (786 nucleotides) under uncultured Actinomyces sp. RNAcentral describes it as "bacterial SSU rRNA". It matches the Rfam family "Bacterial small subunit ribosomal RNA", at positions 54 to 834 of the family's 1533-position model. Lineage: Bacteria; Bacillati; Actinomycetota; Actinomycetes; Actinomycetales; Actinomycetaceae. The record is from RNAcentral.